Molecule: ribosomal RNA, 236 nt
Filed under: uncultured bacterium
Lineage: Bacteria
Description: partial 16S ribosomal RNA
Rfam family: Bacterial small subunit ribosomal RNA
Source: RNAcentral
GAUCAUGGCUCAGGAUGAACGCUAGCGGCAGGCUUAACACAUGCAAGUCGAGGGGCAGCAUAAUGGAUAGCAAUAUCUAUGGUGGCGACCGGCGCACGGGUGCGUAACGCGUAUGCAACCUACCUUUAACAGGGGGAUAACACUGAGAAAUUGGUACUAAUUCCCCAUAACAUUCGAGAAGGCAUCUUCUUGGGUUAAAAACUCCGGUGGUUAAAGAUGGGCAUGCGUUGUAUUAG